Molecule: ribosomal RNA, 398 nt
Filed under: uncultured Sordariomycetes
Lineage: Eukaryota; Fungi; Ascomycota; Sordariomycetes
Description: partial small subunit ribosomal RNA
Rfam family: Eukaryotic small subunit ribosomal RNA
Source: RNAcentral
GCUUGUCUCAAAGAUUAAGCCAUGCAUGUCUAAGUAUAAGCAAUUAUACAGCGAAACUGCGAAUGGCUCAUUAAAUCAGUUAUCGUUUAUUUGAUGGUGCCUUACUACAUGGAUAACCGUGGUAAUUCUAGAGCUAAUACAUGCUAAAAACCCCGACUUCGGAAGGGGUGUGUUUAUUAGAUUAAAAACCAAUGCCCUUCGGGGCUCCCUGGUGAUUCAUGAUAACCUCUCGAACCGCAUGGCCUUGCGCCGGCGGUGGUUCAUUCAAAUUUCUGCCCUAUCAACUUUCGAUGGCUGGGUCUUGGCCAGCCAUGGUGACAACGGGUAACGGAGGGUUAGGGCUCGACCCCGGAGAAGAAGCAUGAGAAUCGGCUUCUACAUCCAAGGAAGGCAGCAGG